RNAcentral lists this ribosomal RNA (253 nucleotides) under uncultured bacterium. Its description in RNAcentral is "partial 16S ribosomal RNA". It matches the Rfam family "Bacterial small subunit ribosomal RNA", at positions 524 to 776 of the family's 1533-position model. The record is from RNAcentral.
UACGUAGGGUGCAAGCGUUAAUCGGAAUUACUGGGCGUAAAGCGUGCGCAGGCGGCUUUGCAAGACAGAUGUGAAAUCCCCGGGCUUAACCUGGGAACUGCAUUUGUGACUGCAUGGCUGGAGUGCGGCAGAGGGGGAUGGAAUUCCGCGUGUAGCAGUGAAAUGCGUAGAUAUGCGGAGGAACACCGAUGGCGAAGGCAGUUCUCUGGGACGGUACUGACGCUGAGACGCGAAAGCGUGGGGAGCAAACAGG